RNAcentral lists this long non-coding RNA (231 nucleotides) under Marmota monax (woodchuck). Lineage: Eukaryota; Metazoa; Chordata; Mammalia; Rodentia; Sciuridae. The record is from RNAcentral.
UAGGGGUACAAAAUAUGAAACACACAUAUCACACCGCGUUCCAGUCUAGCUGAAAACCCAAAGGCUCUGCUUCUCAUUCAUUCUUGUUCUUCUCUUUGCUGUAUAUUUUCACUGCUGUCCAUAUCAAGAAAUGCCCUGAACAAUUCAUAAGCAAUAAAUCAGUAUACUAAUAGUCAUUCUGCAUCCCCCUAGUUCCCCCAAAUGGCAUAGUGGAGUUCAUUCCUGGAGAAA